UCAAGAAAUGAUUUUAGAUACAGCUUGGCAACAGAAGUGACCCUCAGCAACAUUUUCCAUUGUACAGUCACUUUUUCUUUUUUUUCUCUUAACUGGGCAGUAUGAUAAAUUGCUAAUUUCAGGUCAGACAGCUUAAAGUGCAGAACAAAAACAAUGACACCAUGGAAAAUAAAAAGGUUGUCCAGCAUAUUGAGUUUAAAUUUAAAUCUGUCUCUCUCAGGAAGCAGACUUGAGCAACAAAGAUGGAAACACCUCAGAGGAAUAUAUGUCUGAAGCCUAAUGAGCAGGAAUACAGGAAUAUCUUUCAAAUUCACCAAGAAAAGCAGGAUUCUUUCUUCUGAAAAAUGGAUGAACAAAAAAUUUUUUUUCUUCAUCUCUCCUCUUUUAUAUAGCAAUAAUUCUACUGUGUCUGAUUAAGAAGUUUUUUUGUUUCUUUCUAGUUCACCAAGUGUCUACUUUCUGUUUUUAAGAGGUUAACAGGACAGCAGUAAAAUCAGUCGCCUCUUUGGUCGUAUCUUGGUCUGACAAAAUAAAAGAUGUUAGAAAUGAUCUCAGAAUGGUAGGUCUAUUCCUUGUCAAUACAAGUCUGUAACAAUAUUAUGAAAUAUUUCAGAAAUGCUUAUUGGGCAUUUACCAGCAGAAGUUAGGUGCUUAGAUCCUAUUGAAUAUAAUGGGAGUCAGGAAUUUCUUGAUAACGUCAGAAGUCCAAAUACCCAAAUAAUUGCUAGUUUUUAUCCCACUAAAACUGAUGACAGCUAAGUACCCAGUGCUGCAAAAUCUUUGUAAAGGUGAUUCUGGGCUCUUCAGUCUUUCCUGAAACUGCGAUUGGACUGUUUAAUCACGAACGUGUGUUAGGAAAGUUUGUCUUGAUUGUUGAUAUACUUUGUUCCCGAGGAAGAUACCACUACUAUUUCAAAUAUCUCAUUGUCAUGUCAGUAUUUGACACGUGAAUGCUAUUUAUCUGUGUUCAGUAUAUUUAUCCUUGGUGAUUUUACUCUGAAUCUGAGAAGAUGCAGUCACAACUGUGGAUGUUUCCAAAGCAUGCCAAGAUUUUUUUGGUGAUGAAAUAUAUGAAAAGUGAAUACAGAAUUCCAAAUGUUACUGCAUUACAGCCCUGUGGUGGGAGACUGUUAAAUCCCUGCACUGUGAUAAAAUGCCUGCUUCCUGCUUUUUCCUGCGUGGAAUUUGUGGCCACAUAAGUUAUCAGCUAUAAAAAGGCAAGAGCAGGAAAUCUUGUCCUUGACAUACCCGGUGGAAUAAAUAAU
Oxyura jamaicensis (ruddy duck) is the source of this 1265-nucleotide long non-coding RNA. RefSeq lists it as uncharacterized. Lineage: Eukaryota; Metazoa; Chordata; Aves; Anseriformes; Anatidae. The transcript has 3 exons. The record is from RefSeq and is a predicted model, not a curated record.